Molecule: ribosomal RNA, 253 nt
Filed under: uncultured bacterium
Lineage: Bacteria
Description: partial 16S ribosomal RNA
Rfam family: Bacterial small subunit ribosomal RNA
Source: RNAcentral
UACGUAGGGGGCGAGCGUUAUCCGGAAUUACUGGGCGUAAAGCGCACGCAGGCGGUUCGCCAAGUUUGGAGUGACAGUUGUCGGCUCAACCGACAAAGGACUUCAAAAACUGGUGAACUUGAGGACGAGAGAGGAACAUGGAACUCCAGGUGUAGUAGUGAAAUGCGUAGAUAUCUGGAAGAACACCAAUGGCGAAGGCAAUGUUCUGGCUCGUUUCUGACGCUCAGGUGCGAAAGCCAGGGAAGCGAACGGG